UACGAAGGGGGCUAGCGUUGCUCGGAAUCACUGGGCGUAAAGGGCGCGUAGGCGGCCAUUCAAGUCGGAGGUGAAAGCCCAGGGCUCAACCCUGGAAUUGCCUUCGAUACUGUCUGGCUAGAGACCGGAAGAGGUAAGUGGAACUGCGAGUGUAGAGGUGAAAUUCGUAGAUAUUCGCAAGAACACCAGUGGCGAAGGCGGCUUCCUGGUCCAGCACCGACGUUCAGGCACGAAAGCGUGGGGAGCAAACAGGG
RNAcentral lists this ribosomal RNA (254 nucleotides) under uncultured bacterium. RNAcentral describes it as "partial 16S ribosomal RNA". It matches the Rfam family "Bacterial small subunit ribosomal RNA", at positions 524 to 777 of the family's 1533-position model. The record is from RNAcentral.